AAUGAAGAGUCUACAGAAUUGGAGGAAAUUCAGGAUACUCUCCCAAGGCUGGGUCCAUAGUGGAUGCUCCUCAAAAUAUUCACUGCUAGGGUGACUCAGUCCCCAAGCAUACCAGUGACAGGAGGGGUGGCCCUAACUAAGCCCAAAGCAGCCCCCGCCCUGACUCUUCCCUCCCCCAUCUGAUCUACUGUCGGUACCACAAGCACAUCAGCAGAGAAGCCCUUCCCUGCUCCCACCUUUCUCCAAGGACGGGAAGUGUGGAAUGACUUUGGGGAGGUGACUCAGGUCCAGCUGUACUGAUCCCUUGGGUGAAUGGUGAUAAGAGAGUCUGAUUAAGUCUCAGAGGUAAGGGAUAUGCUUGACCUUCUCCAGUCCUGCCAGGAGCUCGGACGCCCCAUUCUUCUCCCCAACCCCAGCCCAGACCAAAAGAGGGGAAGGAAAAGCAGAAUGGGGAACAGCAUCAAUACUGAUGGAGUCUCUAUGGAGACCAUCUCUCCAAGCCCCCGUUUUCUCAACUGGCAAAUGACAGUUCCUAUAUCACAGGGAUUCUGAUUCAGUAGGUUUGGGUGGGGCCUGAGAGUCUGCAUUUCUAACAAGUUCCCAGGUGAGCCCCAAGCUGCUGCACCUUGUACACAACAGCCCUCAAUAAAAGUCAGCUCACUAGACUUUUUCUUCUAGCGAUUUGAUCCUUAAGAAUUGUCCCUAGGGUACUAGAAUGGUUAUGUCACCGCUGGACAUAACUGAGUGAUUUGCCCAAGCACAGAAGGCUUGGAUUCAGGGCAGAAGCAGGGUUCAAGGUCAAGUCUGCAGAUCCAUCCUUUCCAGGCAUCACACCACCCCAAGCCCCACCUGCUUCAGUGGCAGCCAGAGGCUUGGAGCUGAGGACACGAGCAGCUUUGCCCCUCGGUCCCACUGCUGGCCCCUGCUGGGCCAGCCAGGCCUCCAGGUGCAAGCCCAGGCUCCCCCAAGAAAAACCUUGAGCCAUCACCUCCACUCCCCCAGCAGCAGCCUCUAGCAGCUUCCACCUCCAUCACCUUAUAAAGCGCCCCGAGCUGCACUUUUCCAAGCUGCAGUUUAAAUUUAUAUGGAGCGAACCAACUGUCCUUUCCCUGCAGCCUGGGCCUGACUGCUUCACACAUUCCUUCUGGAGCAACAUUACCUAAUUUAACCAUAGCCCCUGCUCUCCAGGGCUCUCAAAAUAGCAGCAGCCAGUAGGGGAAAAUGCCCUAAUGUUAAAAUAACCAAUUCUCCCUCCUCCCCCACUCUUGGCCAGCACCGCCUCAGACCCAGCCCAGGAAGGAACGAGGGCUGGGAGGACCAAGGUGGGCCUGGUUAGAGGCGGAGAUCCCGCCAUGCUUCCAGCGCUCUCACAGAUACCUUCCCCCAUAUCCUCCAGCUCAUCCCAGGGGCCAGGGUUGCCCUGGUUACCCAAGACUAGCAUUCAGCUUUCACCUUCUCCUAAUAACAGAAACUAUCGUAGGAAUAAUUGCUACCCUUCCCCAGGUAUUCAUUCUGAGCUAAACACUUCCUACCCCUUGGCUCACUGACAGCAGAAAAAUGUAGGGAUGAAUAUUCUCUGGUUUCAGAUGAGGAAAUGGGGGCUCAGAAAGGUGCAGUGACUUGCCCAGGGUUACAAAGCCCUGAGGUGGCAGAAGCGGGAUUGGAACCCAAGCCCAGGUACCCCAAAGCCCUAACCAUCUACUACCUGCUAGCUGGGGCGCCGCUUGCAGGGCCUGAGCCCAGGAGAGGAGGCACGGGGGUGGGGGGUGCUAGAAGGAGCCUGCUCACCUGCUGUAUCACCGCAGGGUCUGCUCACGUGGCUGGCACCAAACCGCAGGGGUCUGUUAUGUCCUCGCUCACAUUUCACCCGGAUUUUCUGAGCCUUAAAUCUGUCCUUAGGACCCCGGGGGCGCAGGCCGCCUGUCAAUCUGUGAUCCAAGCCCCCUACUCCCUGCUCCCUCCCUGACCCCGUGUGUCCCAGAGGAAGGCUGCCUCAUUAAAGCAGGGAGCACCCAAAUGCUGACAUACCUCAAGUGCAACCAGUGGUUAAGGAGCUGGGAGGGUGGGCCUCCCACUCCCCUGCUCACUUAAUGCAGAGUAAUCAUUAACCAGGGCAGAGCACGCACCCCCAGGGCCAGCUCCAGGUCCCUUCCCACCUGGGGAAUUCUAGGGCCACUUUCCCAGCCACCCCGCUGGGACCCUAAGGUCCCUGGUAUGGGAG
RNAcentral lists this long non-coding RNA (2221 nucleotides) under Sus scrofa (pig). RNAcentral describes it as "lncRNA (ENSSSCG00025008357.1)". The record is from RNAcentral. Lineage: Eukaryota; Metazoa; Chordata; Mammalia; Artiodactyla; Suidae.